Microcebus murinus (gray mouse lemur) is the source of this 2134-nucleotide non-coding RNA. NCBI's taxonomy places the organism in Eukaryota, Metazoa, Chordata, Mammalia, Primates, Cheirogaleidae. The record is from RefSeq and is a predicted model, not a curated record.
CAUGCAUUGUUUCAUUUAUCUCAAUAUUCACUGAGCACUUAUUUUGCCCCGGGCAUAGAUCCAAGUAUACAACAAUGAAUAAGAUUUUUUUAUUUCUAAAAGAACAUGUAGUUCUCUAUACACACCAGAAUUUCAUCACAUUCCCGCACCUACGGUAAUUCAUCAGCAAAAGAAGCGAAACCCACAAGAUGGACCUAAACCAGCUCUUUUUAGAAGGAGAUUCUGAUGUAUGCUCAAGUUUGAGGACCCCUGCUGUAAAGGCAAAUCUUUCCAUUUCUAAAAUUCUAUGAUUCUACCUGGCCUGAUAAUCUUCACCAACUCAAAGCCAUCAUCAACUCCACCAUCUUCUCAUUAAGCAGACUUCUUGGUCUUGAAAAGGAGACGUAAGUCCUUGAAAAUAAUUAGUGAUAUGGCCAAUCAACUUCAUGGUAUCUGAGCCUUGCCACUUCCUCUGAACCAGCUCUGCAGAUUUCAAAACUCUCUGGGCUCCAACAGGGCUGGUCACAUGUGGCCUAUGAAAAGCUCUCUCUCUACUGUGCUGCUGCCUGGGGAAUGUCCUCUGGCUCUGCCUCCACACCUACUUGAUCAGCCUGCCAGGCCAAGAGCCAGCUCUUUACAUGGGCACCCUCACCUCUCUCUUAUGGCCUCUCCCUGCUUUGGCCUUAAUGCUUUUGACCAAGCCCUUAACUCCUGGUGCAGUGAUGUCAUAUUCUCUGUACCCUAUGCCUGUUACCAAGGCCAAAAGUACCUACUCCUACACCCAGCCUCACCAUCUAUUUAUCCAGCAGGUGAGUGUGGGUAUCACCUUGAUUGACUUGCACUUAUUACAAGAUGAGAAUCCUGAAGAGCAGUUUGGAAACCACAUAUCUCCUAGUUUGGCCACUAACACUACGUGCUUAGAUCUCUUUUGCUGGUCCCCAGUUGCUGCGGUAAAACCAAUGAGUCUUUAGUUGUGGCCCUGAUUGAGUCCAUGAAAUAACCUACUAGGAGCUCUAGUAACUGCUCUGCUUUCAUUCUCUAGUCCCACUCUGGGGGCCCUAAGUCCCUAUUAUGGACUGAUUUGUGUCCCACUAAAUUCGCAUGUUGAAGUUAUAACCCCCAGUACCUUAGAAUGUGCCUGUGUUUAGACACAGGGUCUUUAAAGAAAUAAUUAAGUAAAAACAAAGCCAUGUGAAUGAGCCCUAAUUCAAUAUGACUCGUGUCUUUAUAACAAGAAGACAUUAGGGUACAGAUAUGCACAGAAGGAAAACCAUGUGAGGACACAGGGAAAAGGCAGCCAUGUGCAGACCAAGGACAGAGCCAUCAGAAGAAACCAACCCUGCUGACACCUUGAUCUAUUUCUAGCCUCCAGAAUUGCGAAGAAAUGACUUUCUGCUAUUUAAGUCACCCAGUGGUCCUUUAUAUGGCAGCCCUAGCAAACUAAUCCAGUCCCUAAUGCUGGUUUCUGGCCUGUGAUCCAGCUUCUGCCCCUGUUCCCAGUUCUCCUUUAAAAUCCCAUAACAAAUUCUUUAAGGAGGAGGAAGCAGCAGCAGCAUCUAUCUUUAUGGACUUGUAAUGAAAGACAUGAGAGUCAGAGAUUCCUUCAAAAUUCCUGCAGAGAGUAAGGUGUAUGAUGAGCACGCAUGGGGCAUGCAUAUUUUUCUUUGUUUGUCUUAUGCUACUGGCCCUUCUUUUUAUUUUGCAUUUUCUCCCAAAUAAGAUACAAACCCCAGAGUUCUCCAAUUCUGGAUGUGACUUUCUAUACAAACUGGGACUUGGCUUUACUGUAAUCAACAAGCCCUGUUUGAAUGUCUGCCGUAUACAUAUCCCCAUGCUAGGCCCUGUGAGUUAGAGAGGACUGUUUGAUAAUAGAUAUGUGACUGUGUGCAUUUGUAUAUAAUCUGCUAUCUUGGGGAGAUGGUGGCUAUACAGAGAACUUGAAAACAUUUGUGGAAAAUGGAAUGAGAAGAUAAAAAUAAAAAAUAUAAACUUUGUUUCUCUACAUAAGCUCCAGUAAGUUCAAGACACUUUUGUAAGUGAUGAUAUCAGCCGUUCAGUAGUCCAUACCUACAGAACUAUGGAGCCUGGGAAUUUAACCAUGUCAGUGCAAUCUUUUUGUUCUUAACUGAAGAAAAAUGGGUGCCCUUUAAGGAUU